Molecule: long non-coding RNA, 1455 nt
Organism: Daphnia magna
Lineage: Eukaryota; Metazoa; Arthropoda; Branchiopoda; Diplostraca; Daphniidae
Exons: 7
Source: RefSeq, a predicted model, not a curated record
CUGCUAAUAGAUUUUAAAGGGUAUAUGAUUAUUUCUGAUUUUUUUUAAGGAACAACAGACAAGCUGAAAGAGAGUUACUUGAGCUCUGGCUGAUUGCCCUUUCAACUGGAUCAAUCACUCGGAUGUUUCAGGCUUUUAAAGUACUGUGUUAUCGUCAACGAGGUGACAUUUAUACCUGUUCGAUUAACCCACGCCAAUGAAGGAAAACUAAAUCCUGGCAUUGACGUUAACUCCCGACAGACUCCCUCCCACAUUCUUUAGGAAGUUCCUGAACUACGUCGUCAGCUCAGCGUGGCUUGUCCUUGUUUUCCUGAAGAUCAAUCGAUGUGAGGAUAAGACUGCGCCUAACGAGAUUUGUUGUUCUUCUAGCCGUAAAGAGGCCAGACAAAUUUGAAAGGUUUCUAAUGUGCGUGAAAAACUGGGGAUAUAGCCAGGUAAGGUAUCUGACCAGUAUAACAAUUUGGGUUGGUUUUAACACAGAGUUGAACUUGAAAGCCCACGAAAGCUCGCAUGAUUCUUGAUCCUAGCCGACCCGAAUAAAAAUAAGGAAACCCGAGAAACCAUUUUAGUUUUGGCCUACCAGUUAAGCCCUGUAUUGGGAUUAUAAUUGAAGGUGUACCUUGUUUCUAAUUGAGCUUCACGUCCCACUAGCACCAUCGGAUAUGUAUCUGCUUGGUUGGCUCAUCCUGGUCUAUUUUAGUAUCACCUGCCAACGCGUCAGGAAAUAGAGCUCCCAACAUGUUUUCUAAAGCAUGAAGAUGUGGAGCACGUUUACAUCUUCGACGGGAAAACUCGACUUUUGUCGCGUGGUGAACAUCUAUUGCACCAUGCAUAUACGUCUACCAUGAAGCAUCAAAGGAUUGAUAAAGAAGAUUUUCUUCGACAUCGAUGAAACAGUCCAUCAGCGGCGUCCUUUUUGCUGUGGAAUUUCACACCAUGUUGCACCGAAGUAUUCCGUUCAAUUUGGGAAGAUUUGACAGCCCUUUGACUUCAACAUUUCACAGCAGAUGAUAAAAUAACGUGCGUUCGGCUUACCGUACGUCAUACGCGUUCCAUUCAUCCCAUUGACGAUUACGUUGUAGCGAUCGUAGCUGAUGGCAGCCAUUGUACAGAUGCUGCAUAAUCCGAAAACAGAACCGGUGCAGGCGUAUAAUUCACACAUGAAAGGCCCAAAAAGCCAAACUCCUCCGUUGAAGCAGUUGAGGACAAACAUUGGAAACUGAGUAAUCAUCAUGCACAGAUGAAGAACCAAGGAAUUGCCUGAAAUAAUAGGUCAACAAAAACAAUGCCGGAAAUUUUUUUAAGCAAGACGACAAAACUUCAAAUUUAGGAUUAUCCACAUACCCGUGAUGGAGGCCAUACCCAAUACGAUGUAGAGAAGUCCCUAAAAGAGUAAAUGAUUAGAACAGUUACUGCAAGGUGAGUCCUAUGAUGAUAGUAACAACUUACAAGUAG